This 253-nucleotide ribosomal RNA is filed under the name uncultured bacterium. RNAcentral describes it as "partial 16S ribosomal RNA". It matches the Rfam family "Bacterial small subunit ribosomal RNA", at positions 524 to 776 of the family's 1533-position model. The record is from RNAcentral.
UACGGGGGGAGCAAGCGUUGUUCGGAUUUACUGGGCGUAAAGGGCGCGUAGGCGGCGCAACAAGUCACUUGUGAAAUCUCCGGGCUUAACCCGGAGCGGCCAAGUGAUACUGUCGUGCUAGAGUGCGGAAGGGGCUACUGGAAUUCUCGGUGUAGCGGUGAAAUGCGUAGAUAUCGAGAGGAACACCGGCGGCGAAGGCGGGUAGCUGGGCCGACACUGACGCUGAUGCGCGAAAGCCAGGGGAGCGAACGGG